ACGGGUGAGUAACACGUAUCCAACCUGCCGUCUACUCUUGGCCAGCCUUCUGAAAGGAAGAUUAAUCCAGGAUGGCAUCAUGAGUUCACAUGUCCGCAUGAUUAAAGGUAUUUCCGGUAGACGAUGGGGAUGCGUUCCAUUAGAUAGUAGGCGGGGUAACGGCCCACCUAGUCAACGAUGGAUAGGGGUUCUGAGAGGAAGGUCCCCCACAUUGGAACUGAGACACGGUCCAA
This 233-nucleotide ribosomal RNA is filed under the name uncultured bacterium. Its description in RNAcentral is "partial 16S ribosomal RNA". It matches the Rfam family "Bacterial small subunit ribosomal RNA", at positions 102 to 334 of the family's 1533-position model. The record is from RNAcentral.